UCCGGCUUAACACCGGCAGUCUCCCCAGAGUGCCCAACUUAAUGAUGGCAACUAAGGAUAAGGGUUGCGCUCGUUGCCGGACUUAACCGAACAUUUCACAACACGAGCUGACGACAGCCAUGCAGCACCUAUCUCCCUGUCCCCGAAGGGAAGCAUACAUCUCUGUAUGUGUCAGGGGAUGUUAAACCCAGGUAAGGUUCUGCGCGUUGCUUCGAAUUAAACCACAUACUCCACCGCUUGUGCGGGCCCCCGUCAAUUCCUUUGAGUUUUAGCCUUGCGACCGUACUCCCCAGGCGGGAUACUUAAUGCGUGAACUGCGGCAGUCAAAGGGUUAACACUUCGACCGCCUAGUAUCCAUCGUUUACGGCGUGGACUAC
RNAcentral lists this unclassified non-coding RNA (377 nucleotides) under uncultured Oligoflexaceae bacterium. RNAcentral's name for it is "contains 16S-23S intergenic spacer region". Lineage: Bacteria; Pseudomonadati; Bdellovibrionota; Oligoflexia; Oligoflexales; Oligoflexaceae. The record is from RNAcentral.